UACGAGAGGCCCAAACGUUAUUCGGAAUUACUGGGCGUAAAGAGCGCGCAGGCGGUCGUAUAAGGCGCGUGUGAAAGCCCCCGGCUCAACUGGGGAGGGUCACGCGAUACUGUUCGACUCGAAGGCAGGAGAGGGAAGUGGAAUUCCCGGUGUAGUGGUGAAAUGCGUAGAUAUCGGGAGGAACACCAGUGGCGAAGGCGACUUCCUGGCCUGUUCUUGACGCUGAGGCGCGAAAGCUAGGGUAGCAAACGGG
This 253-nucleotide ribosomal RNA is filed under the name uncultured bacterium. RNAcentral's name for it is "partial 16S ribosomal RNA". It matches the Rfam family "Bacterial small subunit ribosomal RNA", at positions 524 to 776 of the family's 1533-position model. The record is from RNAcentral.